UUGAACGCUGGCGGCAUGCCUUACACAUGCAAGUCGAACGGUAGAGGGGCAACCCUUGAGAGUGGCGAACGGGUGAGUAAUGCAUCGGAACGUGCCCAGUCGUGGGGGGUAACGCAGCGAAAGCUGUGCUAAUACCGCAUGUGAUCUGUGGAUGAAAGCAGGGGACCGCAAGGCCUUGUGCGAUUGGAGCGGCCGAUGUCAGAUUAGCUAGUUGGUAGGGUAAAAGCCUACCAAGGCGACGAUCUGUAGCUG
RNAcentral lists this ribosomal RNA (252 nucleotides) under uncultured bacterium. Its description in RNAcentral is "partial 16S ribosomal RNA". It matches the Rfam family "Bacterial small subunit ribosomal RNA", at positions 30 to 289 of the family's 1533-position model. The record is from RNAcentral.